GGAGAGAUAGCGUGCCGCUGCGCGAUCGCUUCCGUGAGAUUCAAAUCAGACGGCUAAGUAUGUAGAACUGCCCGGUGAUGGUUUGCGGACGCGGGUUCAAUUCCCGCCGGCUCCACCA
Molecule: transfer RNA, 118 nt
Filed under: Roseateles oligotrophus
Lineage: Bacteria; Pseudomonadati; Pseudomonadota; Betaproteobacteria; Burkholderiales; Sphaerotilaceae
Description: tRNA-OTHER
Rfam family: transfer-messenger RNA
About the family: Bacterial tmRNA, also known as 10Sa RNA or SsrA, is named for its dual tRNA and mRNA-like properties.
Source: RNAcentral